RNAcentral lists this ribosomal RNA (140 nucleotides) under uncultured bacterium. Its description in RNAcentral is "partial 16S ribosomal RNA". It matches the Rfam family "Bacterial small subunit ribosomal RNA", at positions 355 to 509 of the family's 1533-position model. The record is from RNAcentral.
UGGGGAAUAUUGGGCAAUGGGCGCAAGCCUGACCCAGCAACGCCGCGUGAAGGAAGAAGGCUUUCGGGUUGUAAACUUUCUUUUCUCAGGGACGAACAGAUGACGGUACCUGAGGAAUAAGCCACGGCUAACUACGUGCC